Molecule: transfer RNA, 73 nt
Filed under: Mucisphaera calidilacus
Lineage: Bacteria; Pseudomonadati; Planctomycetota; Phycisphaerae; Phycisphaerales; Phycisphaeraceae
Description: Planctomycetes bacterium Pan265 tRNA-Gln
Rfam family: tRNA
About the family: Transfer RNA (tRNA) molecules are approximately 80 nucleotides in length. Their secondary structure includes four short double-helical elements and three loops (D, anti-codon, and T loops).
Source: RNAcentral
UGGCCCAUGGUGUAAUCGGCAGCACACCAGUUUUUGGUACUGAGAGUCGGGGUUCGAGUCCCUGUGGGCCAGC